RNAcentral lists this non-coding RNA (45 nucleotides) under Schistosoma mansoni. The record is from RNAcentral. Lineage: Eukaryota; Metazoa; Platyhelminthes; Trematoda; Strigeidida; Schistosomatidae.
AUCCAGUUGACGAGUCCCAAAUAGGAAGAAAUGAGCGUCCUUGAU